RNAcentral lists this ribosomal RNA (421 nucleotides) under Fusobacteriota bacterium. RNAcentral's name for it is "Fusobacteria bacterium partial 16S ribosomal RNA". It matches the Rfam family "Bacterial small subunit ribosomal RNA", at positions 355 to 776 of the family's 1533-position model. Lineage: Bacteria; Fusobacteriati; Fusobacteriota. The record is from RNAcentral.
UGGGGAAUAUUGCACAAUGGGCGGAAGUUUGAUGCAGCGACGCCGCGUGGAGGGUGUAGGCCUUCGGGUUGUGAACUCCUUUUUCUCGCGAAAAAGGCACAGUUUUGGCUGUGUUGAUGGUAGUGGGGGAAGAAGCGCCGGCUAACUACGUGCCAGCAGCGGCGGUGAUACGGAGGGCGCGCGGGGUGUCCGGAUGUAUUGGGCGUAAAGUGCGCGUAGGUGGUUCGUCGCGUCUGUCGUGAAAGCCAGCAGCUUAACUGUAGGUCUGCGGUGGGUACGGGCGGGCUUGAGUGCGGUAGGGGUGACUGGAAUUGCUGGUGUAGCGGUGGAAUGCGCAGAUAUCAGGAAGAACAACGAUGGCGAAGGCAGGUCACUGGGCCGUUACUGACACUGAGGAGCGAAAGCGUGGGGAGCGAACAGG